RNAcentral lists this non-coding RNA (117 nucleotides) under Gorilla gorilla gorilla (western lowland gorilla). The record is from Rfam by way of RNAcentral. Lineage: Eukaryota; Metazoa; Chordata; Mammalia; Primates; Hominidae.
GCUGGGUGUGGUGGCUCACGCCUGUAAUCCCAGCACUUUAGGGGGCUGAGGCGGGCGGAUCACCUGAGGUCAGGAGUUCAAGACCAGCCUGGCCAACAUGGUGAAACCCCGUCUCUA